UGUUGUUUUGUCUUUUGUGACUUGAUAGGACUUGAUAUGCUAGACUUUGAUGUUGUCCUUAGUAUGGAUUGGCUGCAUUAUUGUUAUGUUUUAUUGAUUGUAGAACCCGAUUUGGUCAUUAUGAGUUUUGGGUAUGUUGUUUGGUUUGACUAAUUCCUCGGAGUCAUGAAAAGAUUUGACGAAUAAGGUGUUUAGAUAAUACCUUGAUGUGGUGAGUGAGUAGGCUCCUCUAAAGGGUAGUUGUAUAGUUCACUAUGGUUUAGAAUCAUCUUGUGUGAUGGAUGUGAAA
This 289-nucleotide long non-coding RNA is filed under the name Solanum tuberosum (potato). Its description in RNAcentral is "long non-coding RNA (STUB_LNC002724)". Lineage: Eukaryota; Viridiplantae; Streptophyta; Magnoliopsida; Solanales; Solanaceae. The record is from RNAcentral.